CAGUCGCCGCGGGAAUACAGAGGGUGCAAGCGUUAAUCGGAAUUACUGGGCGUAAAGCGCGCGUAGGUGGUUUGUUAAGUUGGAUGUGAAAUCCCCGGGCUCAACCUGGGAACUGCAUCCAAAACUGGCAAGCUAGAGUAUGGUAGAGGGUGGUGGAAUUUCCUGUGUAGCGGUGAAAUGCGUAGAUAUAGGAAGGAACACCAGUGGCGAAGGCGACCACCUGGGCUCAUACUGACACUGAGGUGCGAAAGCGUGGGGAGCAAACAGGAUUAGAUACCCCCGUAGUCCCUGUCUCUUAUAC
This 301-nucleotide ribosomal RNA is filed under the name uncultured bacterium. Its description in RNAcentral is "partial 16S ribosomal RNA". It matches the Rfam family "Bacterial small subunit ribosomal RNA", at positions 509 to 807 of the family's 1533-position model. The record is from RNAcentral.